RNAcentral lists this ribosomal RNA (245 nucleotides) under uncultured bacterium. RNAcentral describes it as "partial 16S ribosomal RNA". It matches the Rfam family "Bacterial small subunit ribosomal RNA", at positions 524 to 767 of the family's 1533-position model. The record is from RNAcentral.
AACAGAGGGUGCAAGCGUUAUCCGGAUUUAUUGGGCGUAAAGCGUUUCGUAGGCGCCAUGCCAAGUCACACUUCAAAUGCCAGAGCUUAACUUUGGGAAGGGGCGUGAUACUGGUGUGGUUGAAAUAUGUCGGGGUUAUCGGAACUCUCGGUGUAGGGGUGAAAUCCGUUGAUAUCGAGAGGAACACCAAGGGCGAAGGCAGAUAACUAGGCAUUUUUUGACGCUGAGGAACGACAGCUAGGGGA